GAUCAUGGCUCAGGAUGAACGCUAGCUACAGGCUUAACACAUGCAAGUCGAGGGGCAUCAGUUUGGUUUGCUUGCAAACCAAAGCUGGCGACCGGCGCACGGGUGAGUAACACGUAUCCAACCUGCCUCAUACUCGGGGAUAGCCUUUCGAAGAAAGAUUAAUAUCCGAUAGCAUAUAUUUCCCGCAUGGGUUUUAUUAUUAAAGAAAUUCGGUAUGAGAUGGGGAGUGCGUUCCAUUAGUUUGG
This 245-nucleotide ribosomal RNA is filed under the name uncultured bacterium. RNAcentral describes it as "partial 16S ribosomal RNA". It matches the Rfam family "Bacterial small subunit ribosomal RNA", at positions 15 to 249 of the family's 1533-position model. The record is from RNAcentral.